RNAcentral lists this ribosomal RNA (497 nucleotides) under uncultured bacterium. Its description in RNAcentral is "partial 16S ribosomal RNA". It matches the Rfam family "Bacterial small subunit ribosomal RNA", at positions 28 to 507 of the family's 1533-position model. The record is from RNAcentral.
GACGAACGCUGGCGGCGUGCCUAAUACAUGCAAGUUGAGCGCUGAAGGCUGGUACUUGUACCAACUGGAUGAGCAGCGAACGGGUGAGUAACGCGUGGGGAAUCUGCCUUUGAGCGGGGGACAACAUUUGGAAACGAAUGCUAAUACCGCAUAAAAACUUUAAACACAAGUUUUAAGUGUGAAAGAUGCAAUUGCAUCACUCAAAGAUGAUCCCGCGUUGUAUUAGCUAGUUGGUGAGGUAAAGGCUCACCAAGGCGAUGAUACAUAGCCGACCUGAGAGGGUGGUCGGCCGCCCUGGGAGUGUGACACGGCCCAAACUCCUUCGGGAGGCAGCAGUAGGGAAUCUUCGGCCAUGGACGAAAGUCUGACCGAGCUACGCCGCGUGAGUGAAGAAGGUUGUCGGAUCGUAAAACUCGGUUGGUAGAGAAGAACGUUGGUGAGAGUGGAAAGCUCAUCAAGUGACGGUAACUACACAGAAAGGGACGGCUAACUACGUG